AUUCCUACGGGAGGCAGCAGUGAGGAAUUUUGCGCAAUGGCCGCAAGGCUGACGCAGCAACGCCGCGUGGGUGAUGAAGGCCUUCGGGUCGUAAAGCCCUGUCAGGUGGGAAGAAAGGCCUGGAGAGGAAAGGUUUCAGGUUUGACGGUACCACCAGAGGAAGCACCGGCUAACUCCGUGCCAGCAGCCGCGGUAAUACGGAGGGUGCGAGCGUUAUUCGGAAUUACUGGGCGUAAGGCGCGUGUAGGCGGCCAACCAAGUCUGAUGUGAAAGCCCUGGGCUUAACCUGGGAAGUGCAUUGGAAACUGGCUGGCUUGAGUACUGGAGAGGAAGGGGGAAUUCCCGGCGUAGAGGUGAAAUUCGUAGAGAUCGGGAGGAAUACCAGUGGCGAAGGCGCCCUUCUGGACGGUUACUGACGCUGAGACGCGAAAGCGUGGGGAGCAAACAGGAUUAGAUACCCUGGUAGUCCACGCUGUAAACGAUGAGCACUAGGUGUAGCGGGUACUCAUUCCUGCUGUGCCGUAGCUAACGCGUUAAGUGCUCCGCCUGGGGAUUACGGUCGCAAGACUAAAACUCAAAUGAAUUGACGGAAU
This 593-nucleotide ribosomal RNA is filed under the name uncultured bacterium. RNAcentral's name for it is "bacterial SSU rRNA". It matches the Rfam family "Bacterial small subunit ribosomal RNA", at positions 335 to 919 of the family's 1533-position model. The record is from RNAcentral.